GAGGGUACAGCUCAGUGGUGGAGUGUGUGCUUAGUGUGCACAAGGUCCUGGGUUCAAUCCCCAGUAUCUCCA
Molecule: transfer RNA, 72 nt
Filed under: Camelus bactrianus (Bactrian camel)
Lineage: Eukaryota; Metazoa; Chordata; Mammalia; Artiodactyla; Camelidae
Also listed under: 1 other name
Rfam family: tRNA
About the family: Transfer RNA (tRNA) molecules are approximately 80 nucleotides in length. Their secondary structure includes four short double-helical elements and three loops (D, anti-codon, and T loops).
Source: Rfam by way of RNAcentral